ACUGCCUUCCCCUCAUCCAAAUGCCAUGAAAUUUCACAUGUCUACCAUGCUAGAUGUUAGGAUUGAGUGUGAUUUAUUUGGUGAUUUUUGAAUUUGUUUGAGUUGACUUUUGAAUGAGGUCUUGUUGUUGACCUUUUGUAUGCUUCCUUUGCCAUGCUUUGCUUUCAAAUGUUCAUGAAAUGAUAAUAAUGCAUGAUUUGGUUGUGAAUCCAAUUGAGAUAGCUUCUUAAAUGUUU
Molecule: long non-coding RNA, 236 nt
Filed under: Lathyrus oleraceus (garden pea)
Lineage: Eukaryota; Viridiplantae; Streptophyta; Magnoliopsida; Fabales; Fabaceae
Description: Pisum sativum (pea) long non-coding RNA (PSAT_LNC015987)
Source: RNAcentral